RNAcentral lists this ribosomal RNA (376 nucleotides) under uncultured organism. RNAcentral's name for it is "partial 16S ribosomal RNA". It matches the Rfam family "Bacterial small subunit ribosomal RNA", at positions 523 to 896 of the family's 1533-position model. The record is from RNAcentral.
CGGGGGGGGGGGCAAGCGUUGUUCGGAAUUACUGGGCGUAAAGGGCGCGUAGGCGGGCAAGACAGUCUUUCGUGAAAUCCCACGGGCUCAACCGUGGAACUGCGGGAGAUACUACUUGUCUUGAGUUCGGGAGAGGAGUGUGGAAUUCCCAGUGUAGCGGUGAAAUGCGUAGAUAUUGGGAGGAACACCGGUGGCGAAGGCGGCACUCUGGACCGAUACUGACGCUGAGGCGCGAAAGCUAGGGGAGCAAACGGGAUUAGAUACCCCGGUAGUCCUAGCUGUAAACGAUGAGCACUUGGUGUAGCGGGUAUCGACCCCUGCUGUGCCGGAGUUAACGCAUUAAGUGCUCCGCCUGGGGAGUACGGUCGCAAGGCUG